GUUAAGCGACUAAGCGUACACGGUGGAUGCCCUGGCAGUCAGAGGCGAUGAAGGACGUGCUAAUCUGCGAUAAGCGUCGGUAAGGUGAUAUGAACCGUUAUAACCGGCGAUUUCCGAAUGGGGAAACCCAGUGUGUUUCGACACACUAUCAUUAACUGAAUCCAUAGGUUAAUGAGGCGAACCGGGGGAACUGAAACAUCUAAGUACCCCGAGGAAAAGAAAUCAACCGAGAUUCCCCCAGUAGCGGCGAGCGAACGGGGAGCAGCCCAGAGCCUGAAUCAGUGUGUGUGUUAGUGGAAGCGUCUGGAAAGGCGCGCGAUACAGGGUGACAGCCCCGUACACAAAAAUGCACAUGCUGUGAGCUCGAUGAGUAGGGCGGGACACGUGGUAUCCUGUCUGAAUAUGGGGGGACCAUCCUCCAAGGCUAAAUACUCCUGACUGACCGAUAGUGAACCAGUACCGUGAGGGAAAGGCGAAAAGAACCCCGGCGAGGGGAGUGAAAAAGAACCUGAAACCGUGUACGUACAAGCAGUGGGAGCCUCUUUUAUGGGGUGACUGCGUACCUUUUGUAUAAUGGGUCAGCGACUUAUAUUCUGUAGCAAGGUUAACCGAAUAGGGGAGCCGAAGGGAAACCGAGUCUUAACUGGGCGUUAAGUUGCAGGGUAUAGACCCGAAACCCGGUGAUCUAGCCAUGGGCAGGUUGAAGGUUGGGUAACACUAACUGGAGGACCGAACCGACUAAUGUUGAAAAAUUAGCGGAUGACUUGUGGCUGGGGGUGAAAGGCCAAUCAAACCGGGAGAUAGCUGGUUCUCCCCGAAAGCUAUUUAGGUAGCGCCUCGUGAAUUCAUCUCCGGGGGUAGAGCACUGUUUCGGCAAGGGGGUCAUCCCGACUUACCAACCCGAUGCAAACUGCGAAUACCGGAGAAUGUUAUCACGGGAGACACACGGCGGGUGCUAACGUCCGUCGUGAAGAGGGAAACAACCCAGACCGCCAGCUAAGGUCCCAAAGUCAUGGUUAAGUGGGAAACGAUGUGGGAAGGCCCAGACAGCCAGGAUGUUGGCUUAGAAGCAGCCAUCAUUUAAAGAAAGCGUAAUAGCUCACUGGUCGAGUCGGCCUGCGCGGAAGAUGUAACGGGGCUAAACCAUGCACCGAAGCUGCGGCAGCGACGCUUAUGCGUUGUUGGGUAGGGGAGCGUUCUGUAAGCCUGUGAAGGUGUGCUGUGAGGCAUGCUGGAGGUAUCAGAAGUGCGAAUGCUGACAUAAGUAACGAUAAAGCGGGUGAAAAGCCCGCUCGCCGGAAGACCAAGGGUUCCUGUCCAACGUUAAUCGGGGCAGGGUGAGUCGACCCCUAAGGCGAGGCCGAAAGGCGUAGUCGAUGGGAAACAGGUUAAUAUUCCUGUACUUGGUGUUACUGCGAAGGGGGGACGGAGAAGGCUAUGUUGGCCGGGCGACGGUUGUCCCGGUUUAAGCGUGUAGGCUGGUUUUCCAGGCAAAUCCGGAAAAUCAAGGCUGAGGCGUGAUGACGAGGCACUACGGUGCUGAAGCAACAAAUGCCCUGCUUCCAGGAAAAGCCUCUAAGCAUCAGGUAACAUCAAAUCGUACCCCAAACCGACACAGGUGGUCAGGUAGAGAAUACCAAGGCGCUUGAGAGAACUCGGGUGAAGGAACUAGGCAAAAUGGUGCCGUAACUUCGGGAGAAGGCACGCUGAUAUGUAGGUGAAGCGACUUGCUCGUGGAGCUGAAAUCAGUCGAAGAUACCAGCUGGCUGCAACUGUUUAUUAAAAACACAGCACUGUGCAAACACGAAAGUGGACGUAUACGGUGUGACGCCUGCCCGGUGCCGGAAGGUUAAUUGAUGGGGUCAGCGCAAGCGAAGCUCUUGAUCGAAGCCCCGGUAAACGGCGGCCGUAACUAUAACGGUCCUAAGGUAGCGAAAUUCCUUGUCGGGUAAGUUCCGACCUGCACGAAUGGCGUAAUGAUGGCCAGGCUGUCUCCACCCGAGACUCAGUGAAAUUGAACUCGCUGUGAAGAUGCAGUGUACCCGCGGCAAGACGGAAAGACCCCGUGAACCUUUACUAUAGCUUGACACUGAACAUUGAGCCUUGAUGUGUAGGAUAGGUGGGAGGCUUUGAAGUGUGGACGCCAGUCUGCAUGGAGCCGACCUUGAAAUACCACCCUUUAAUGUUUGAUGUUCUAACGUUGACCCGUAAUCCGGGUUGCGGACAGUGUCUGGUGGGUAGUUUGACUGGGGCGGUCUCCUCCUAAAGAGUAACGGAGGAGCACGAAGGUUGGCUAAUCCUGGUCGGACAUCAGGAGGUUAGUGCAAUGGCAUAAGCCAGCUUGACUGCGAGCGUGACGGCGCGAGCAGGUGCGAAAGCAGGUCAUAGUGAUCCGGUGGUUCUGAAUGGAAGGGCCAUCGCUCAACGGAUAAAAGGUACUCCGGGGAUAACAGGCUGAUACCGCCCAAGAGUUCAUAUCGACGGCGGUGUUUGGCACCUCGAUGUCGGCUCAUCACAUCCUGGGGCUGAAGUAGGUCCCAAGGGUAUGGCUGUUCGCCAUUUAAAGUGGUACGCGAGCUGGGUUUAGAACGUCGUGAGACAGUUCGGUCCCUAUCUGCCGUGGGCGCUGGAGAACUGAGGGGGGCUGCUCCUAGUACGAGAGGACCGGAGUGGACGCAUCACUGGUGUUCGGGUUGUCAUGCCAAUGGCACUGCCCGGUAGCUAAAUGCGGAAGAGAUAAGUGCUGAAAGCAUCUAAGCACGAAACUUGCCCCGAGAUGAGUUCUCCCUGACUCCUUGAG
Molecule: ribosomal RNA, 2800 nt
Filed under: Escherichia coli
Lineage: Bacteria; Pseudomonadati; Pseudomonadota; Gammaproteobacteria; Enterobacterales; Enterobacteriaceae
Description: partial 23S ribosomal RNA
Rfam family: Bacterial large subunit ribosomal RNA
Source: RNAcentral